RNAcentral lists this ribosomal RNA (71 nucleotides) under Escherichia coli. RNAcentral describes it as "partial 16S ribosomal RNA". The record is from RNAcentral. Lineage: Bacteria; Pseudomonadati; Pseudomonadota; Gammaproteobacteria; Enterobacterales; Enterobacteriaceae.
UAAAGCGCACGCAGGCGGUUUGUUAAGUCAGAUGUGAAAUCCCCGGGCUCAACCUGGGAACUGCACCUGAG